GGUCCCAUAGCUCAGUUGGUUAGAGCGUCGUACUAAUAUCGCGACAUUCGCCAUAUUAAGUCCAUGCGAAGGCCGAGAGUUCGAGCCUCUCUGGGACCA
Non-coding RNA from Hypoxylon crocopeplum, 99 nucleotides. The record is from the annotation of a GenBank genome assembly. NCBI's taxonomy places the organism in Eukaryota, Fungi, Ascomycota, Sordariomycetes, Xylariales, Hypoxylaceae.